UCCAGACUCCUACGGGAGGCAGCAGUGGGGGAUAUUGCACAAUGGGGGAAACCCUGAUGCAGCGACGCCGCGUGGGUGACGAAGUAUUUCGGUAUGUAAAGCCCUAUCAGCAGGGAAGAAGAUGACAGUACCUGACUAAGAAGCCCCGGCUAACUACGUGCCAGCAGCCGCGGUAAUACGUAGGGGGCGAGCGUUAUCCGGAUUUACCGGGUGUAAAGGGAGCGUAGACGGCUGGUCAAGUCUGAAGUGAAAGCCCGGGGCUUAACCCCGGAACGGCUUUGGAAACUGAGCAGCUAGAGUGCUGGAGAGGUAAGCGGAAUUCCUAGUGUAGCGGUGAAAUGCGUAGAUAUUAGGAGGAACACCAGUGGCGAAGGCGGCUUACUGGACAGUAACUGACGUUGAGGCUCGAAAGCGUGGGGAGCAAACAGGAUUAGAUACCCUAGUA
This 445-nucleotide ribosomal RNA is filed under the name uncultured bacterium. RNAcentral's name for it is "bacterial SSU rRNA". It matches the Rfam family "Bacterial small subunit ribosomal RNA", at positions 330 to 792 of the family's 1533-position model. The record is from RNAcentral.